AAAAAUGGCUGAACCGUUAGGAGACAAAACCGUUAGGAGGAGCAGAGGACUGUACUUCGUUUCCUUGGCAACCAAGAAAUUAGCUGCGGUGGCUACACAUGCACAGCAGUGUUUAUCACCAAAAAAACCCCCACAACGAUUUGUCAGUGUCACUCGACUGUGGAACCGCCCCAUCUCACAGGCUAACGCGUUCCCUCACCCCGUCUGUGAACCCAUCUCCUGCCUUCAGCCUGUUGUGCCUGUGAUCCACCAGUCACGCCAUCUCCCCGGCUAGGUACACACACUUAGAGCGUGCACACACAGACACGGAAACAGCAAGCACAAAUGAAGCUUAUUGCUGCAUGCUCUGAGAGAGAAAGAGAAGAGUGGCUGACAUGUGGGGUUGUAUUUCAGAGCUGAGGCGUAUAAGAGAAGAUUUUUUUUAUUGUUAAUCUGUUUCCCUCCCCUGGUUAAAAGUUGUAGGACUCACAGCUCCACACAGUGUUCGGUCUGAGUCACUGCACUCGUUUCCUUCUGGGACCUUGAAUUAAAUUAUUCAUGUUUGCAAAGAGA
Long non-coding RNA from Acanthopagrus latus (yellowfin seabream), 552 nucleotides. RefSeq lists it as uncharacterized. NCBI's taxonomy places the organism in Eukaryota, Metazoa, Chordata, Actinopteri, Spariformes, Sparidae. The transcript is spliced from 3 exons. The record is from RefSeq and is a predicted model, not a curated record.